RNAcentral lists this ribosomal RNA (481 nucleotides) under uncultured bacterium. RNAcentral's name for it is "bacterial SSU rRNA". It matches the Rfam family "Bacterial small subunit ribosomal RNA", at positions 32 to 523 of the family's 1533-position model. The record is from RNAcentral.
AAUCAACGCUGGCGGCGUGCCUCAGACAUGCAAGUCGUACGAUUAAAGCUCUCUUCGGAGAGUGUAUAGAGUGGCGCACGGGUGAGUAACACGUAAGUAAUCUACCUUCGAGUGGGGAAUAACAGUCGGAAACGACUGCUAAUACCGCAUAAUGCAGCGGCACCUAAUGGUGACAGUUGUUAAAGCAUUUAUGUGCUUGAAGAGGAGCUUGCGGCAGAUUAGCUAGUUGGUAAGGUAAUGGCUUACCAAGGCGACGAUCUGUAGCCGACCUGAGAGGGUGGUCGGUCACACUGACACUGAAUAACGGGUCAGACUCCUACGGGAGGCAGCAGUCGGGAAUUUUGGGCAAUGGGCGAAAGCCUGACCCAGCAACGCCGCGUGAAGGAUGAAGUAUUUCGGUAUGUAACUUACGUAAAAUGGAAGAAUAAAUGACGGUACCAUUUGUAAGGUCCGGCUAACUACGUGCCAGCCGCCGCCGUAA